AGUGAACGCUGGCGGUAGGCCUAACACAUGCAAGUCGAACGGCAGCACAGUAAGAGCUUGCUCUUACGGGUGGCGAGUGGCGGACGGGUGAGGAAUACAUCGGAAUCUACUUUUUCGUGGGGGAUAACGUAGGGAAACUUACGCUAAUACCGCAUACGACCUACGGGUGAAAGCAGGGGAUCUUCGGACCUUGCGCGAUUGAAUGAGCCGAUGUCGGAUUAGCUAGUUGGCGGGGUAAAGGCCCACCAAGGCGACGAUCCGUAGCUGGUCUGAGAGGAUGAUCAGCCACACUGGAACUGGGACACGGUCCAGACUCCUACGGGAGGCAGCAGUGGGGAAUAUUGGACAAUGGGCGCAAGCCUGAUCCAGCCAUACCGCGUGGGUGAAGAAGGCCUUCGGGUUGUAAAGCCCUUUUGUUGGGAAAGAAAAGCAGCAGGUUAAUACCCCGCUGUUCCGACGGUACCCAAAGAAUAAGCACCGGCUAACUUCGUG
This 492-nucleotide ribosomal RNA is filed under the name uncultured bacterium. Its description in RNAcentral is "partial 16S ribosomal RNA". It matches the Rfam family "Bacterial small subunit ribosomal RNA", at positions 29 to 507 of the family's 1533-position model. The record is from RNAcentral.